CUUGAAUCUACAUGAAUGUAGGUGAAGAACCAGAAACAACUGAGGUCUGUCUACUGAAAAAUUGAAAAACCAAACUCUUGAAGGGACAUGCCACUUAUUUUACAGGGCAAAGAAAGUACUUACAAGAGUUAUGGUAGAAAUCAGACUAGGAAUCAGCAGAGAUAGCAAUUAGCACUGACAUCCCUGGUGGAUUUGAACAGUGUGAGUCUAUAGUGGCCACUUGCAUCCAAUUCAGUGACUUCCUGGAAGAAGGUACUGCAGCCCGGAGGUGAGAACACAAAAGGGAGGGGAGAAUUGACAUGACAAGGAGAACAAGGAAGCUGGAGGCAAAAAGCCAGACCAUGGCCUUGGGUUCAUGCUUGAGCACGGAGUUUAAAUGAAUGACUUCCACCUGAGAGUCCCCUCUGCCAAGUCGACAUGACAAGGAGAACAAGGAAGCUGGAGGCAAAAAGCCAGACCAUGGCCUUGGGUUCAUGCUUGAGCACGGAGUUUAAAUGAAUGACUUCCACCUGAGAGUCCCCUCUGCCAAGUCCAGGAGGGAUGGAGUAUGCCCUUCAUCUUCAACAUUGAACAGAGUAGAACUCCCCCUAUAGCCAGCAACAUUUAUUCCUGCCUCAUGUCUUGGAAGAUAUUGGGAAUUACCUGAACUUAAGGUAAAAAUUCGAAUUUACUCCUAAGAAUAUAUAUAUAUAUAUAUAUAUAUAUAUAUAUAUAUAUAUAUGUACAUAUACACAUAAAUUGUAUACAUAUACAGACAUAUGUAAAUAUACAUAUGCAUAUACAUAAAUGCAUAUAUACAUUUAUAAAUGUAUAUUUAUAAAUAUAUAUAUUGCCCCCAGCCAAUAUUGGCUGAAUG
Vulpes vulpes (red fox) is the source of this 856-nucleotide long non-coding RNA. The record is from Ensembl. Lineage: Eukaryota; Metazoa; Chordata; Mammalia; Carnivora; Canidae.